RNAcentral lists this ribosomal RNA (253 nucleotides) under uncultured prokaryote. RNAcentral describes it as "partial 16S ribosomal RNA". It matches the Rfam family "Bacterial small subunit ribosomal RNA", at positions 524 to 776 of the family's 1533-position model. The record is from RNAcentral.
UACGGAGGGUGCAAGCAUUAAUCGGAUUUAUUGGGCGUAAAGGGCGCGUAGGCGGCUUUUUAAGUCAGAUGUGAAAUUCCAGGGCUCAACCCUGGACCUGCAUUUGAAACUGAGAAGCUCGAGGAUAGGCGGAGAAAACGGAAUUCCACAAGUAGCGGUGAAAUGCGUAGAUAUGUGGAAGAACACCAGUGGCGAAGGCGGUUUUCUAGCUUAUUCCUGACGCUGAUGCGCGAAAGCAAGGGGAUCAAACAGG